UUCUAAAUGCACUGCAGCUGCCACACGAGAAGUGACAACUUUGCCAAUUAGGGAGCAAUUACAAGCAUUGGGUCACUACCACUGUCGGGUCAGCACCUGCAUAAUAGAACAUUAAACUGGCAGCAGUGAGGAUAACUGGGAAUCAGUGUUGAUGUACCAACAUUUUCUUCUUGUCAUCCAAGAUGUCUGGAGCUCAUGCAGAUGCAUUUAAAGCCCAUUUGGCCCAAAAAUGAUGAUUUAAUGAAGCUAGAUCA
Molecule: long non-coding RNA, 254 nt
Filed under: Pseudonaja textilis
Lineage: Eukaryota; Metazoa; Chordata; Lepidosauria; Squamata; Elapidae
Description: lncRNA (ENSPTXG00000002729.1)
Source: RNAcentral